RNAcentral lists this ribosomal RNA (508 nucleotides) under uncultured bacterium. RNAcentral's name for it is "partial 16S ribosomal RNA". It matches the Rfam family "Bacterial small subunit ribosomal RNA", at positions 28 to 523 of the family's 1533-position model. The record is from RNAcentral.
GACGAACGCUGGCGGCGCGCUUAACACAUGCAAGUCGAGCGAGAACCGGACCUUCGGGUCCGGGGAAAGCGGCGAACGGGUGAGUAACACGUGGGCAACCCACCCUUGGUACUGGGAUAGCCCGGGGAAACCCGGAUUAAUACCGGAUGGCCCAACAGCUCUUCGGGGCGGUUGGAAAAGGUAGCUUCGGCCUCCGACCAAGGACGGGCCCGCGGCGGAUUAGCUUGUUGGUGGGGUAACGGCCCACCAAGGCGACGAUCCGUAGCUGGUCUGAGAGGACGAUCAGCCACACUGGGACUGAGACACGGCCCAGACUCCUACGGGAGGCAGCAGUGGGGAAUCUUGCGCAAUGGGCGAAAGCCUGACGCAGCGACGCCGCGUGGGGGAAGAAGGCUUUCGGGUUGUAAACCCCUUUCAGGAAGGACGAAGCCACUCGGGUGAAUAGCCCAGAGGGUGACGGUACUUCCAGAAGAAGCCCCGGCUAACUACGUGCCAGCCGCCGCAGUAA